This 492-nucleotide ribosomal RNA is filed under the name uncultured bacterium. RNAcentral describes it as "partial 16S ribosomal RNA". It matches the Rfam family "Bacterial small subunit ribosomal RNA", at positions 29 to 507 of the family's 1533-position model. The record is from RNAcentral.
AGUGAACGCUGGCGGCAGGCCUAACACAUGCAAGUCGAACGGCAGCACAGUAAGAGCUUGCUCUUACGGGUGGCGAGUGGCGGACGGGUGAGGAAUACAUCGGAAUCUACUUUUUCGUGGGGGAUAACGUAGGGAAACUUACGCUAAUACCGCAUACGACCUACGGGUGAAAGCAGGGGAUCUUCGGACCUUGCGCGAUUGAAUGAGCCGAUGUCGGAUUAGCUAGUUGGCGGGGUAAAGGCCCACCAAGGCGACGAUCCGUAGCUGGUCUGAGAGGAUGAUCAGCCACACUGGAACUGAGACACGGUCCAGACUCCUACGGGAGGCAGCAGUGGGGAAUAUUGGACAAUGGGCGCAAGCCUGAUCCAGCCAUACCGCGUGGGUGAAGAAGGCCUUCGGGCUGUAAAGCCCUUUUGUUGGGAAAGAAAAGCAGCAGGUUAAUACCCCGCUGUUCUGACGGUACCCAAAGAAUAAGCACCGGCUAACUUCGUG